CGUGGAAACUUGGGUGGAGUCCGUCCGUCGUGAAAAAUCCGAUCGACGCUAGUGGGGGCUUAUCCGUCAGCAAAACUUGGGAGUAUUGCGGAGGCUCGGUCGCUUAAGAGGUUUGAAGAGAUGUCGUCGGAGGUCGGAAGUCGGUUGGAUCCCCAGAGGGUCACUCCUAUCACGAACUUCGGCUGGGGGGCAUUUUAUACCCAACACCAGUCUGCCUACUUCCGAGUUCGAAUUUCGAAUGAAGGAAGUACAGAGAAAUUAUCGCAGCCGAAGUUGUCCCCUUG
This 284-nucleotide long non-coding RNA is filed under the name Elaeis guineensis (African oil palm). RNAcentral describes it as "long non-coding RNA (EGUI_LNC067371)". The record is from RNAcentral. Lineage: Eukaryota; Viridiplantae; Streptophyta; Magnoliopsida; Arecales; Arecaceae.